This 163-nucleotide ribosomal RNA is filed under the name Coriolopsis trogii. RNAcentral describes it as "5.8S ribosomal RNA". It matches the Rfam family "5.8S ribosomal RNA". Rfam says of the family: 5.8S ribosomal RNA (5.8S rRNA) is a component of the large subunit of the eukaryotic ribosome. It is transcribed by RNA polymerase I as part of the 45S precursor that also contains 18S and 28S rRNA. Functionally, it is thought that 5.8S rRNA may be involved in ribosome translocation. RNAcentral also lists the same sequence under 5 other names. Lineage: Eukaryota; Fungi; Basidiomycota; Agaricomycetes; Polyporales; Polyporaceae. The record is from RNAcentral.
UACAACUUUCAGCAACGGAUCUCUUGGCUCUCGCAUCGAUGAAGAACGCAGCGAAAUGCGAUAAGUAAUGUGAAUUGCAGAAUUCAGUGAAUCAUCGAAUCUUUGAACGCACCUUGCGCUCCUUGGUAUUCCGAGGAGCAUGCCUGUUUGAGUGUCAUGAAAU